UGGGGAAUAUUGCACAAUGGGGGAAACCCUGAUGCAGCGACGCCGCGUGGAGGAAGAAGGUCUUCGGAUUGUAAACUCCUGUUGUUGAGGAAGAUAAUGACGGUACUCAACAAGGAAGUGACGGCUAACUACGUGCCAGCAGCCGCGGUAAAACGUAGGUCACAAGCGUUGUCCGGAAUUACUGGGUGUAAAGGGAGCGCAGGCGGGCAGACAAGUUGGAAGUGAAAUCCAUGGGCUCAACCCAUGAACUGCUUUCAAAACUGUAUGUCUUGAGUAGUGCAGAGGUAGGCGGAAUUCCCGGUGUAGCGGUGGAAUGCGUAGAUAUCGGGAGGAACACCAGUGGCGAAGGCGGCCUACUGGGCACCAACUGACGCUGAGGCUCGAAAGUGUGGGUAGCAAACAGGAUUAGAUACCCUGGUAGUCCACACCGUAAACGAUGAUUACUAGGUGUUGGAGGAUUGACCCCUUCAGUGCCGCAGUUAACACAAUAAGUAAUCCACCUGGGGAGUACGACCGCAAGGUUGAAACUCAAAGGAAUUGACGGGGGCCCGCACAAGCAGUGGAGUAUGUGGUUUAAUUCGACGCAACGCGAAGAACCUUACCAAGUCUUGACAUCCCUUGACGAUGCUGGAAACAGUAUUUCUCUUCGGAGCAAGGAGACAGGUGGUGCAUGGUUGUCGUCAGCUCGUGUCGUGAGAUGUUGGGUUAAGUCCCGCAACGAGCGCAACCCUUAUGGUCAGUUACUACGCAAGAGGACUCUGGCCAGACUGCCGUUGACAAAACGGAGGAAGGUGGGGAUGACGUCAAAUCAUCAUGCCCUUUAUGACUUGGGCUACACACGUACUACAAUGGCGUUAAACAAAGAGAAGCAAGACCGCGAGGUGGAGCAAAACUCAGAAACAACGUCCCAGUUCGGACUGCAGGCUGCAACUCGCCUGCACGAAGUCGGAAUUGCUAGUAAUCGCAGAUCAGCAUGCUGCGGUGAAUACGUUCCC
Molecule: ribosomal RNA, 995 nt
Filed under: uncultured bacterium
Lineage: Bacteria
Description: bacterial SSU rRNA
Rfam family: Bacterial small subunit ribosomal RNA
Source: RNAcentral